UACAGAGGGUUCGAGCGUUAAUCGGAAUUACUGGGCGUAAAGCGCACGUAGGUGGCGCCGUAAUCCGGGUGUGAAAGCCACGGGCUCAAACUGGGAAUUGCAUUCGAGACUGCAUUGCUGGAGAACGGAUGAGGAGGGCGGAAUUCCCGGUGUAGCGGUGAAAGGCGUAGAUAUCGGGAGUAACAUCAGUGGCGAAGGCGGCCCUCUGGUCCAGUACUUACAAUCAAGUGCGAAAGCGUGGGGAGCAAACAGG
RNAcentral lists this ribosomal RNA (253 nucleotides) under uncultured bacterium. Its description in RNAcentral is "partial 16S ribosomal RNA". It matches the Rfam family "Bacterial small subunit ribosomal RNA", at positions 524 to 776 of the family's 1533-position model. The record is from RNAcentral.